RNAcentral lists this long non-coding RNA (1592 nucleotides) under Octopus sinensis (East Asian common octopus). RNAcentral's name for it is "uncharacterized LOC118767966". The record is from RNAcentral. Lineage: Eukaryota; Metazoa; Mollusca; Cephalopoda; Octopoda; Octopodidae.
ACACUGCCAGAUCUGACUGGCCUGGUGCAGCCUUCGGGCUCCCCAGACCCCAGUUGAACCGUCCAACCCAUGCUAGCAUGGAAAACGGACGCUAAAUGAAUGAUGAUGAUGAUCUUGUGUGUCCAGUUGGUUGCAUGACUGCUACUGAUAGAGUUUAGAUAGAGCUCUACAUCGACUAUCUUCAGCCAGUUUGUUCCCAAUACAGUGGAAAAAUUAAGGCAAGAUCUUGCUGAACACAAGUUCAUAUUAUUUGUUCCCUACUCAACAGCGGGAUGCAUGGAUGAUAGACACGUGUUCUGUGGUAUCUCGGGAAAGUCGUCAUACCAAUAAAAUUAACACACAUACACACCGGUUCAAUUCUACUCAUCAACUAUCUGCUUUUUUUUUUUUUUGGUAGCGGGGCCGAAGGACCUUCUCAGUGUCUAUGGAAUAAAUGAGUUAAAUUGGACUAAUGUGUGUGUGUGUGUGUUGACUCUCUCCAGACACAAUAAAAUUUGUUUCAAUAUGUGAAUCCACAUAAAGAAUCUUGUAAACCAGAUAUGAAAGCAAAAUAAACACUUGUGUUUAUCAUGAUUUCUCAUGUGUCUAUACAUGUAUGAAUGUAUGUAUGCAUGAAUAUAUAUAUAUAGAGAGAGAGAGCAAAGAAUAUGUAGUAGCCUUUGCUGGAUUGAGGUGUUGGCUAUCGAAGCAGCUGUAGGCCAGGGCUCUCUGUGAUAGCUUGGUGCAGGGGUGGGGGUGGGGGGCUUCCACAGAUUGAGUGCAAAGUUAUUAGAAAUAAUAAUAGAGCCCUCACAGGACUUGUAGCUGAUAGAGCCCUGCAAAAUCUUAAUCUGGCUCAGAUUGUUUCACACACACAUUGCACAAAAAAAAUUAUAUGACAGACCCCCCCCCCAAAAUGCGCAUAUAUAUAUAUAUAUAUAUAUUAUAUAGAAAUGUCCCUUUCUUCCUCUCCAUCUGUAAACUAUACCAACCUCAACCAUUUUUUCUCUGCCCUCCCCUCAACCAUUUUCUCCCCCGUCUUGUGUGAUCUGAAUAUUUUUUUGUUGUAAUUGUUUUUUCUUUCUUUUUUGUUUGUUUGCCACCACCCCCUUUUUCUUUCUUCCUAAACAGCACUUCUCUCUUUCUAUCUCUCCCCCUCUCUCUAUCUCCCUCCGUCUCUCUCUCUUAUUUUUUUUCUUUCCUUUUUGCGAUGCACUUGUAAAUUAACACGGACUUACAAAAAAAAAAAACAAAAAAGACACUCACACAACAAAGCAAAAUAUUAAUUAUUAUUAUUAAUUACAAUUCAAAAAUUAAAUAUAUAAAAAUAACAAAAUUACAAAUAAGAAACGGGGAAAAAAAAAAUACAAAGACUAAUUUUAAAAAAUUAAUGAUUAAAAAAAACACAAACAAUUUGAAGAUUUUUUUUUUUUUAAUUUACUAUCCCCUCCCCUGAAAGAACAUUUAUGAUUAUUAUUAUUAUUGUUUUUCUCUGACUUGACUCUAUAAUUCUGUUCAUUGUGCGGCUCAUUGUAGAAGUCUGGCGAAAGUUAGUAAACAUUGAUGUGAUAAAUUAUGUGGAAAGAAUUUCAGUAAAUAAUUUCACAACAAAA